UCUCUUGGCCAAUUAAAGGCGCAUUCACGCAGCUCCUCCACCACUCCCAACUCAAUUUCCAACCAGCCCGGCCACCUUUCCCAGCCCUAGCUCACUCACCCUCUCGGUUCCAUUAGAGCAAGGUUCUGCUCGUCGCUCUCUCUCUCUCUCUCUGAUCUUCCUCUGGGGAAAUCUUCCGAGCUCGUCGUGCUCUUGGUAAGCAUCUUGAACUGUUAGUUGGCCUAACAAUCUUAGACAGAAAUUCAAACCCAACCUAUCUGUUCCUCUUUCUUUUUCUGAAUUUAAUCAGCACUCAAACUUGUGAAGCCAAUAUCUUCUCGAUCCGACUGGCCUCCGAUUGACUUGAUUCCCUUCCAAAAUUUAUCUAAAAUCAAGCUCUAUCUAUCUAUGUCAAUCUUAUAAUUUAUGGAACUCAGUUUGUAUUUAUAUUAAAUUUAUGAGUGAUGUGGUUGUUUGCUCUGUGUCCCGUAGUAAUCACCGAGAGUUCGCGAACGACGAUGAGAAGAAGCUUGGAGUCCGGAACCGCAAGUUAGGAAGCUAGU
This 542-nucleotide long non-coding RNA is filed under the name Setaria viridis. RNAcentral's name for it is "long non-coding RNA (SVIR_LNC000931)". The record is from RNAcentral. Lineage: Eukaryota; Viridiplantae; Streptophyta; Magnoliopsida; Poales; Poaceae.